Molecule: long non-coding RNA, 1038 nt
Filed under: Gossypium barbadense (sea-island cotton)
Lineage: Eukaryota; Viridiplantae; Streptophyta; Magnoliopsida; Malvales; Malvaceae
Description: long non-coding RNA (GBAR_LNC015590)
Source: RNAcentral
AAGAAGGUACAAUGCCGGUAGACAAAGCCGCCAGAUCUUGACAAUCCCGCGGUGGAUGACAAAGGCAUGAAAGUGGAUGCUAUUAACACAUCUUUUGUGACGUGGAAAGAAAAGUUAAUGGGUACUACGGUUGGAACAAUGAAUCAUUAGAAGGACAAAGACUUCGAUCUACAAUAAGGAGAUGCUAAAUUAGAAAUAGUUGAUGGAUCUAAAAGAGUACAUCAAUUCAUUGCAAAACCCAAGGCUCGGAUAGUUAUCGUGAAGUUAUUGGGUAGAAGGAUUUUUUAUAUCACAAUGUGUGGGAAAUUGAAAGCAAUCUGGAAAACGAAGUUUCCAUUGCAAAUUAUUGACUUGGAAAACAAUUACUUUUCAGUCAAAUUUCAAGAGGAGGAGGAGUACCUUAAUGCUUUGUCCGGGGGUCCCUGGACGAUCUUUGGACAUUAUCUCACUGUGCAAUAGUGGAUGCCAACCUUCUCGUCAGACCAAUGUCAUCCUAAACAUUUAAUGGUUUAGAUUAGGUUACCAGGGCUAUCGGAAGGAAUGUGCACCAAAAGCCUUUUGAAGUUCAUUGGGAGUAUAACUGGUAUAGUUGCAAAGAUUGAUUGGAAUACUGACAAUAGUUGUAAAGGGCAAUUUGCGAGAUUGACUGUGUAUGUGGAGUUGGGGAAAUCGCUUGUCUCAAAAAUCAUAAUUGAUGGGAAAUUACAGAGGGUUGAAUAUGAAUCCUUACCCAUGGUUUGCCUCGAUUGUGGAAGGUUUGGGCAUUCCCAGGAAGAAUGUCCACACAAGUCAAGCCAGGAAACAACACUGGAGGGGGGAGGAAAAAUCACGAGGUGUGGAACUGAGACUAUAGGGGCAAGUGUAGGAAGAAUGCUUCGGUCAUUGGAUGAUUGUCAAGCAUAGAUAGCGGCGGAAGGCUUAUAUGGUCAAGAAAACUAGCAGUGGUUUGGAGAAUGGCGUGGUUGGAGGAUUGAAGAGUGGUGCGACUAGUGGAUCCAGAUUUAGAAUCCUUGGCGAGAUAUUUAGAAACAAAAAUUU